UAUUGGUCAAUGGACGAGAGUCUGAACCAGCCAAGUAGCGUGAAGGAUGACUGCCCUAUGUGUUGUAAACUUCUUUUAUACGGGAAUAAAGUGUGGCACGUGUGCCUUUUUGGAUGUACCGUAUGAAUAAGGAUCGGCUAACUCCGUGCCAGCAGCCGCGGUAAUACGGAGGAUCCGAGCGUUAUCAGGAUUUAUUGGGUUUAAAGGGAGCGUAAGCGGACGCUUAAGUCAGUUGUGAAAGGCUGCGGCUCAACCGUAAAAUUGCAGUUGAUACUGGGUGUCUUGAGUACAGUAGAGGCAGGCGGAACUCGUGGUGUAGCGGUGAAAUGCUUAGAUAUCACGAAGAACUCCGAUUGCGAAGGCAGCCUGCUGGACUGUAACUGACGCUGAUGCUCGAAAGUGUGGGUAUCAAACAGG
RNAcentral lists this ribosomal RNA (417 nucleotides) under uncultured bacterium. RNAcentral describes it as "bacterial SSU rRNA". It matches the Rfam family "Bacterial small subunit ribosomal RNA", at positions 362 to 776 of the family's 1533-position model. The record is from RNAcentral.